Non-coding RNA from Ostrea edulis (European flat oyster), 72 nucleotides. The record is from the annotation of a RefSeq genome assembly. Lineage: Eukaryota; Metazoa; Mollusca; Bivalvia; Ostreida; Ostreidae.
GGCCAGAUAGCUCAGUCGGUAGAGCACCUGACUGAGAUUAAGGGGGCCUGCGUUCAAAUCCCAGUCUUGUCU